AACGAACGCUGGCGGCAUGCCUAACACAUGCAAGUCGAACGAGACCUUCGGGGCUAGUGGCGCACGGGUGCGUAACGCGUGGGAACCUGCCCUUAGGUUCGGAAUAACUCCCCGAAAGGGGUGCUAAUACCGGAUAAUGUCUUCGGACCAAAGAUUUAUCGCCUUUGGAUGGGCCCGCGUUGGAUUAGCUAGUUGGUAGGGUAAAAGCCUACCAAGGCGACGAUCCAUAGCUGGUCUGAGAGGAUGAUCAGCCACACUGGGACUGAGACACGGCCCAGACUCCUACGGGAGGCAGCAGUGGGGAAUAUUGGACAAUGGGCGAAAGCCUGAUCCAGCAAUGCCGCGUGAGUGAUGAAGGCCUUAGGGUUGUAAAGCUCUUUUACCCGCGAUGAUAAUGACAGUACCGGGAGAAUAAGCUCCGGCUAACUCCGU
RNAcentral lists this ribosomal RNA (432 nucleotides) under uncultured bacterium. RNAcentral describes it as "partial 16S ribosomal RNA". It matches the Rfam family "Bacterial small subunit ribosomal RNA", at positions 29 to 506 of the family's 1533-position model. The record is from RNAcentral.